UCCCUGGCGGUCCAGUGGUUAGGAUUCUGCACUUAUAUUGCUGAGGGCCCAGGUUCAAUCCCUGGUCAGGGAA
Molecule: transfer RNA, 73 nt
Filed under: Balaenoptera acutorostrata scammoni
Lineage: Eukaryota; Metazoa; Chordata; Mammalia; Artiodactyla; Balaenopteridae
Description: tRNA-Ile (TAT) (tRNA-Ile-TAT-4-1)
Rfam family: tRNA
About the family: Transfer RNA (tRNA) molecules are approximately 80 nucleotides in length. Their secondary structure includes four short double-helical elements and three loops (D, anti-codon, and T loops).
Source: RNAcentral